UCGAUGUUGGAUUAAGAUA
This 19-nucleotide small RNA is filed under the name Drosophila melanogaster (fruit fly). RNAcentral's name for it is "smithRNA129rA". Lineage: Eukaryota; Metazoa; Arthropoda; Insecta; Diptera; Drosophilidae. The record is from RNAcentral.